Molecule: long non-coding RNA, 1142 nt
Organism: Triticum aestivum (bread wheat)
Lineage: Eukaryota; Viridiplantae; Streptophyta; Magnoliopsida; Poales; Poaceae
Exons: 2
Source: RefSeq, a predicted model, not a curated record
GAUAUUGCUUCUCCUUAUAUUAGUACCUAUACAGUAGAUGAUAUUCAUUCCCAAAUAAAAAUAUAGAAGAUCUGUAUGUUUUAAAAUUCUUGCAAAUUGAACGAACUACUUGUUAUCUCUUCUCUAAUCUUUCUCUUGAUCAGAUUCUCUUUUUUACUAUCCAUUGCAAAAUUUACUCAAUAAUAUGUACAAUGCGUACAAUAAUAAUCAUGAAACCGUCUAGCUCCUUAUUGAGUCCAUGGCCCCUUUUUCCAUGCAAUGGUUAGUAUUAUUUGUUCCACCUGUAUCUCAUCAUAUGAUUUUUUUCCUUGCAAUUUUUGUGCUUGCAAGAUGUCAGCUAGCAGUCUAUCAGUAUCUAAACAAUGCAGUAACCAUGAUGUUGGUAUGAAACUGUCCUACAGGUCAGGUUUUGAACUGUUGAAAAUAGAUGCGCAGAUUGAUAAGAUUGUGUUAAAAUCAUUAAUUUGCCUUGGUUGAUCAUGUAAGGGAUUAACUUUCUUUAUUGGCGUGCAGCUUCAGGGGCAGAUGUAAAUGUAUAGCUUAUGACAUAAUCAUAGAAAGUCGGGCAACCCAUUCGCUUACUUGAUAAAUCCUCCCCUGGUUCAGUCCACUAAGGUGUCCAUUUCCUUAUCUCCUCCUCAUGACGCAGCAUUCUUAUUUAUUCCAUAUCCUUAAUUUUUACACUAACUAGUCCAGCGAGUCUUUGUUAGUUAAGUGUGCCAGUAUAUGUCUAUUUUUUCCGAUCAUAACUUUUGUACAUGCCUAUAUUUUGUAGAUUCAUAUAGGUAUUGAUAUUCAGGUAUUCAAUGCAUGACAAAUGAUACAUGAUUAGGGAGCUGAAUUGUGACCAAAGAUCAAAUCCUCUUGGGCAUAUGAUAUUCUACAUUGGCAGGAAAGGCACAUGGGCAGUGUUUCUUAUAACUGGGUGAGAAUUUCAAUACAAGAUGAUUACUUGGAGCUUGGAGAACGUAUGAUGGUUCUUGGUACUUGGAGGAAAAACAAGACAAUUCUCUGAAUGUUUAGAAAUUUUAUAUUUUGUUUUAUUUUAUUUUUCGAAGGAAGUGAUGUACUCCUAAUUGAUGAUACUUCCAUUGUAAUGUAACAGAUUGUUCCAUUGAAUCAAUAUAUCAUUUUCAUUUCUA